RNA transcript from Panicum hallii, 2132 nucleotides. It is a transcript of the gene named casein kinase 1-like protein 4, with no coding region annotated. The transcript is spliced from 18 exons. NCBI's taxonomy places the organism in Eukaryota, Viridiplantae, Streptophyta, Magnoliopsida, Poales, Poaceae. The record is from RefSeq and is a predicted model, not a curated record.
CCCACUCGGCUUCGGCGCCGCUGCAAGCAAAACCCCACCACCCGCGCCCGCUGCUGCAGCGGCGACGUCGCCGCCAAGGAACCCGGAACAGCCCAGGCAUCCAACCAAUAGCCCGCGGAAGCGAUUUCGCCUCGCGCAUGGACCGCAUCGUCGGCGGCAAGUUCAGGCUCGGGCGGAAGAUCGGCUGCGGCUCCUUCGGCGAGAUCUACCUCGCCACGCACAUCGACACCUACGAGAUCGUCGCCGUCAAGAUUGAGAGCAGCAAGACGAAGCACCCCCAGUUGUUUUACGAGGCAAAGCUCUACAACACUCUCCAAGGAGGAAGUGGCAUUGCAAACGUCAAGUGGUGCGGCGUGGACGGGGAAGAAAAUGUUCUCGUCAUUGACCUGCUGGGACCAAGUUUGGAGGACCUCCUCGUCUAUUGCGGCAGGAAAUUCACACUCAAGACUGUCCUAUUGCUGGCUGAUCAGAUGAUUACAAGAAUCGAGUUUAUGCAUUCCAAAGGGUACUUACACAGAGAUAUAAAACCUGACAACUUUCUGAUGGGUCUUGGUCGGAAAGCAAAUCAGGUAUACAUAAUUGAUUUUGGGCUUGCCAAAAGAUACCGGGAUUCUACGACGAAUCGUCAUAUUCCUUACAGAGAAAAUAAGAACUUGACUGGCACAGCACGCUAUGCAAGUUGCAACACCCACCUUGGAAUUGAACAAAGCCGCAGGGAUGAUUUGGAAUCUCUUGGCUAUGUCCUUUUGUAUUUUCUCCGAGGAAGCCUUCCUUGGCAGGGACUAAAAGCUGCAACAAAGACACAGAAGUAUGACAAAAUAUGUGAGAAAAAGAUAUCAACUCCUAUCGAGGUCUUGUGCAAAUCCUGUCCCGUCGAAUUCGCAUCUUACUUCCAUUACUGCCAUUCAUUGACAUUUGAUCAGCGACCUGACUAUGCAUUUGUGAAGCGACUUUUUCGUGACUUGUUUACCCGCCAAGGAUACGAAUUUGAUUAUGUCUUUGACUGGACAGUUUUGAAAUACAAACAAGGCCAAAAACAAAAGCGAAGUCCUGGGGCGCCAGCUCGACCAAUUCAAGAAGAUGUACAGAAACAAGCAGGUGUAAAUGGUAUUUUUCAUAGUGAAGCCCGGGAGCAUGUAGAGACAAGCCAUCCAACAUGGCAAGCUGCAGAAUCUCGAGGCAAACAGGCAACCGAUAAAGAUUGGAAUUCCAGCAUGCAGCAUACUGUGAAACUUAGACAAGAUGUGGAUGAUGGAAAAGUGCAGAUGACGUCUGUCCCACUUCCUAGUUCCCUGUGGAAAGAUGAUGGUGAUUCAAGACAAAAAGGACAAUUUGAUGCUGUUCACCAUACUCAGGGUUUUGUAAACAUAACUGGCUCAUCUAACAGCUGGCCUCCUACAUUCCAGCGCAAUGCACCGGCAAAGUGACAGUUAAAUCUAUCAUAUCUGGUGGAGCAAAGAGGAAAUGCAAAGAGUUAGAGGAUGCCCCUGUUCCUUCGAGGUGGUUCAGAGUCAAGUAUCGAACAGUCAAUGUAGACUUGAUGUUUAAUGUGUGUUAGUGAGGUGGCUACUGAUGCAUUUGAUGAUGAUGAUGCCUGCUAAUUAUGGAAGCAUUAGGUACUGCAGAGGCUCAACUGAACAGGGGAUAGUAUGCCAUUCUUAAGUUGAAUCUAUCUACAUUGGGACUUACGCAUCUUUAGCAGAUUGAUGCUAUCACGCCGUGGAAAUCAGCUGUAUAUCUUCUGAUGUCAUCAGUUCGAUGUGGAAUCGUUCAAGUAGACAUAUUUUUUAAAAUAAAAGGUUUCCAUGUCACCGUUGUACUGGCAAUGUCGAGCCAUGGGAGUUGUCAUGACAGUGUUACGUGCCUGGUUGUAGUUUUGUAUCAUCCAUCCCGACAACCAUAGGUAUGGAGUAAAGUUCCUUCUAGUGCUAUGUAACAUAUUCGAUGUCCAGUAGUUUUAUUGUUACGAUGUGUGUUCCGAAUAAUUUUUGGUGUAUAUUUGUGAUUGGUAGUGAUUGCAAAGUUGAAAACGAGCUGAUGCAUUGUAAGGAAAAUAAAUUUAAGAACACGCAUCUGGGGACUUCUGUUCCAAUGUAAUUUAUCAAGUGCUUCUCUUGAAUGCCUUGCGGCCA